CAGGAGUGCCCGGGCAAUGCCCAAAGAGAUUGCUUGUGCCUGCCCAGAUAGACCACCUUCAUGUGCUUUUACAAACACAUCAUAACUUGUCUCCUAUCCCAAUGUUGCUAAAGGGACUUUGAUGUAAUGAAGCCACAAAUGAUUCCCUUGAAGAUAUUCCUGUAUAAUAAUUGAAUGCCCAAUCUUAAGCAAUGAUUCACAUUGGUUUUGGGAAUUUAAACUGCCGAUUUUGAAUACUGUCUUUGUUACAAUAAAUAAACUAAGAUGAGUUUCAUAAUACAUCUUGAUAUCAACUUACUCCUAUAAAUGAAUAUCACAACUUUUGAUUUCACAUUUGGCUAUGUCAAAUACUUGAAGUGUGACAAAAAUUGAAAGAAUCUUGACAAAUUUAAAAUACCAUUAGUUUGGUUGCAAUGUAGAAUUGAUGAUGCCAAAUGUUGCAGGUUUCAUGAUCUCAAACAAAAAAGAUUCUUUGGUUAACAAUUUGACAACAAUAGGUUUUGAUGUAAUUUCUGUAUCAAUUAUGCGUUUGAUAGCUCUUCUUGGUAGCUAGAUUAGAUAAAGUAAAAAAUUCAAGUUUUACAGCAAGAAACAAUAUAAUAUCAAAGCAAAAGGGAUUUUUGAACAAAUGUAGAUAAGACGCAGGAAGCAUAACAAAUAGCAAAUAUAACUUGGAAAAAUUUAGUAUAGUUUCAAAUUUGGGCUGUGGCCCCUCCCGAUUUCUCAAUAGUCCAUAGUCCAUAGUCCAUAGUCCAAUUUCCAAAAUCCAAACCAAACGAAUGUGAAAUCGAUCGUAUCUUCCGCCCUCAUCGUCGCUCGCUGCCUCGCUGGAGUCUGGACGCCUGUGGCCGGCUGGUCUCGCAAAAUCGCCAAUCGACAAUCGCCAUUCAUCGGAAAUCAGCUGUCACCGGAAGGUCACUCAAAUCAGGUAUGUAAGCUCAUUCUUUCUUCUCUUCCGGUUCUCCUUUAGGCCGUAGUCCUGUAGUUGAGUUAUUGGGGUUUUGGGAAUCAAUAGUUAAUUCAACAAUUAGGUAUGUUCAUACACUACCAAGACCCCCAAAAACUUUAAAUUUACGCCAUUUCUCCUGUACGCAAUUUCUUGGAUUAGGAAUUAGGACUGCCAAAAUCCAAAUGCUCCUGACUUGUUGACUUGUUGUUGAGUUGUUGUGAUUUGGGAAUCAAUAAUCAAUUCAAUGUUGAUUGUUUAUUGUUAGUUUGUUACUUUGUUGCAGAUUUUAGAUUAGGACAUUAGGUAUUGUUUUCACUUUUGAUUUCAAAAUUCAGUUUUUAGACACUGCUGUUAUUUUGAUUUCAAGGAGUUAUUAUGUUAUUGCAGAUUUUUGUUAUUUGUUAUUGCUUUUACACACUGUUGAAUUGAAUCAAUCGUUCCUUUUUCAGUGUUUAUUUGUUGAAAACAAUUUUGUUUUUUUAUGUAAGAACAUCAAAGUUUGAUGUUCAAGCAUUCUUCUAGAUAAAGGGGAGAACAUGAGAGAAAAACUUAUUCUCAUCAUCUCCUUGUUUUCUUUUCAUCUUUUUGUAGGAAAAUGGCUGAAACUGAGUAAUGAUGAUUCAACAAUACACUUCAAUAAUCACACCUCUUGAUGAGUAGUAUGGUAAGUUAUCUCUCCACAAAACAUUCAUCUUCUCAUUUUUAUGCUCCUUUUGCAACUUAUAGUAUCAUGAUAACUCUUGUAAAUCUUUUUCAGAAGCCAAGAGAGCAACCAAAGGUUCCUUGCCAAAUGGAAGCAGAGGUUGAUAGAAUCAGCAACUUACCAGGACACAUCAUAGACAAAAUCUUGUCUCUUUUAACCCUGCGUGAUGCAGUAAGAACAAGCAUCUUAUCAAGCAAAUGGAGAUACAAAUGGGUAAAUCUCACAAGUCUUGUAUUCGAUAAUCAAUCUGUUCUAGUCUCAUCUCAAGAUCCAACAAUCAUAAAAAACAAAAUGGUUAAAAUUGUGGAUCAUGUUUUAUUACUUCACAAUGGUCUAAUCCACAAAUUCAAGCUUUCACAUCGAGACCUUCAAGGUGUUUGUGACAUUGAUAGAUGGAUUCUGUUUCUUUCACGAGGUUCAGUCAAAGAAUUUAUACUUGAGAUUUGGAAAGGUCAACGCUACAAGCUACCAUCUUCUCUAUACUUGUGUGACAAGUUAUCUCAUUUAGAGCUUUUCAACUGUUUGUUGAAACCUCCAUUGGGGUUUAAUGGGUUUAAGAUCUUGACUAGUCUUGAUCUUCAACACAUUACAAUGGAUCAAGAUGUUUUUGAGGAUUUGAUACAUAGGUGUCCAUUGCUUGAGAGGUUGACUUUGAUGAACUUUGAAGGAUUUGCAAAUCUUAAGAUUCAUGCUCCUAAACUUACGUUUUUUGACAUUGGAGGUGUUUUUGAAGAUGUUGUGUUUGAGAACACUUUUCAUCUUUCUACUGUUUCUAUUGGGUUGUAUGUCAAUAUUGGCAAUGAUCAUGAGUUGACCCUUGGAACUACGAGCAAGUUGACCAAGUUUUUUGCUUCGUUGCCAAGUAUUCAAAGACUCGAAGUUCAAAGUUUCUUUUUAAAGGUAAAAAACCCAUCAAGGCCAUGUUUGUCUCUGUAUUUGUAUUUGUAUUUGUUACACAGGAUAAUAAGACACAACAUAACAGGUUGUACUAUAUUUUUACACAGACUGAUUUCAAUAAGACAAAAAUUGUACUUUUUUUGUCUCACCCAAAAAGCGUGAGACCCAGUCUCACCUUUUUGGAAAAGUUGCAAUUUUUUUUUCCCACCCAAAAAAGUGAGACAAAAAAUUGCAACUUUUGUCCAUUGGCAUUAAUUUUAGUCUAAUGUCUAAUGCAUGACAAACGCAGUGCAACCUGUUUUGUAUGUCUUGUAUUGUAUAACAAAUGGGACCUUAAUACAAUACUAAUUGGGGGGUAUUUUGGUCUAUUUGGUUGCAUGUAUAUAGUUUUUGGCAGUUGAUAUGGUGCCAAGGAGGUUGCCUACUCCAUGUAUGGAAUUGAAUUACCUUUCACUACGUAUAAAUUUCAAUGACAUGGAGGAGUGUCUUGCAGCCCUUUGCAUUCUUAGGAGUUCACCCAACCUUCUAGAACUCGAGUUGUUGGUGAGUUUCUUUCAAUCCAGUGCAUGUCAAACACAGUAUAAGUAUACAUGUGAGUUCAGUGCAUGUCAAACACAGUACAAGUGAUUUAUGUGUAAGAAUUUUUUUUUAUUAUGGUGUAGGCACGACCGGAUGAACAGGCAGCUCCAAGGGCAGUUGCAAAGAACUUAGUGGAAGAAGACUUCCAGAAUUGCUUUUUUAGCCAAUUGCGGUUUGUGAAAAUUGCUGGGAUUUUUGGGGUGGCUCGAGAGCUGAAUUUUAUUAACUUUUUGCUUGCGAAUACGCCUGUACUUGAAAGAAUGACUGUGAAGCCUGCUUCUCAAGAAUGUGGUUGGGACCUCCUCAAAGAAUUGUUAAGGUUUAGGCGAUCUUCUGUGCAUGCUGAAAUCAUUUACCUCGAUCCAUGAUUCACUUUAAACUUUAAAUCAUCAGUGUUUUCAUGCUUUUUAGUUUUAAUGCUUGACCAACACUUGUGUUUUUUUCUAUGUUAACCCGAAAGAAUCUGUUAACUUUGCUACAAAGACUUAUUUUGUGCCACGUUUCUUAUAUUCCUUCCACCGUUUUAUUAGGUUUGUUAACAUAGUAUAAAUGCAUGGUGAAGUACAUGUGUAGGUGAUUCAAUUAACUUUUUUUCAUUGGUUUAUAAAAUAAACAUGUAUCACAAUAUACAAGUCUUAAUUGGACCUAACGACCUAUGUUGCAAUAUAGUCAUAGUCUCGUGAUGUAGUUUUGUUGUAGCUAUUUUUGAUUUAUUGUCUAGGUCUUUAUUAGGUUUGUUUUAAAUGAAAUUUUGUUGGGUUAAUAUAAAGAAACUAACUUAAGAAAAUUGUAAAGUUAGGUUAUAAUGUAAUAAUUUAUCCAAGUAUAAUGUAAUGAUAGUAAGUUACGGUUUUGGCCCAUGUGGUAUAUAUUUCUAUUGUUUUUGUUAUAUUUUGGAAAUUUGAUAUUGAGGGGGGACCAAAUAUAAUGGAUUUAUCUAGAAUGGUAAAUGAAUCGAAGGUGAAAUUAUUUUUAUAUAAUAUUAUUAUAUUAUAUGUUUGAUUGUGUGUUUAUCUUCGUUUGUUUAUAUUUGUUCAGCAUGUUCAUAAACAUAAACAAAUGAACAUGAACAAUAUAAUUGGUUAAACGAACAAAAAAAAAAUACAAAAAAACUUGUUUGUUUAUAUGUUCGUGUUAGUUCCGUUAUUCUUUAUUCGGUUAAUUUAAAGAAACAAACAUAAAGAAGCCAUUGUUUGUAUUGGUUUACAUCAACCCAAGAUUUAACUACAAUAACAGUAAUGUCAAAUUUUUAAAAUUAGAAUCAAAUGUGUGAAAAUGUUUAUAUACCAUAGUAACAAAAACUGUAACUUAAUGAUGUAAUAAUAAUUUUUGGUAACGAAGAAGGGGCAUUCUGGACAAAGACAACUACGUUAUCCUGUAGUACGCUAUCCACCUUCAUAAACUCUCCAACCAAAAUUUCAUCCCCAAAUCCAGAAGGACCAAGAGAACGAAAAUGGCGAUGUCCAUCUCUUCGCUCACCUCAUCCUUCUCUUCUUUAUCUUUCUCCUCACAAGUUUCUCAAAAACCCUACUCCAUCUCUCUCGCUCCCUCCUCAAAAUCACUUCGCUUAUCUCAAUUUUCCACAAACAAACCCCAAUCUCUUACCAUACUUGCCACUGUCGCCGCCGAGCCUCUCACCGGAGAUUUGGAGACUACGAACAUCGAGAAGUACGUCAAAUCGAGACUCCCCGGUGGCUUCGCUGCCCAGACGCUGAUUGGCACCGGUCGCCGGAAAUGUGCCAUUGCGCGGGUUGUCAUUCAGGAAGGAACUGGAAAAUUCAUAAUCAAUUACCGUGAUGCACAGGUAGUUCCAUAUUAUCCACUUGUUAUGCUUUUGCGUCUUAUCUACAUUUGUUCAAAAAUCCCUUUUGCUUUGAUAUUGUUUCUUGCUGUAAAACUUGAAUUUUUUAGUCUAUCUAAUCUAGCAACCAAGAAGAGCUAUCAAACGCAUAAUUGAUACAGAAAUUACAUCAAAACCUAUUGUUGUCAAAUUGUUAACCAAAGAAUCUUUUUUGUUUGAGAUGAUGAAACUUGCAACAUUCUUCUUAAUGUUUUACUGAUUUGGCUUCAUCAAUUCUGCAUUGCAACCAAACUAAAGGUAUUUUAAAUUAGUCCAGAUUCUUUCAGUUCUUGUCUCACUGAAGAAUUACUUCUUCAAGUAUUUGAGAUAACCAAAUGUGAAAUCAAAGUAGGAGUAAGUUGUUGAUGAUAACAAUUAACAAAGACUGUGCAGUUUAAAUUCCCAAAACGAGUGUGAAUCAUUGCUUAAGAUUGGGGAUUCAAUUAUUAUACAGGAAUAUCUUCAAGGGAAUCCUUUGUGGCUUCAAUACAUCAAAGUGCCUUUAGCAACAUUGGGAUACGAGACAAGUUAUGAUGUGUUUGUGAAGGCACAUGGAGGUGGUCUAUCAGGGCAGGCACAAGCAAUCUCUUUGGGCAUUGCCCGGGCGCUUCUGAAAGUGAGUGAAGACCACAGAAAGCCUCUGAGGAAGGAAGGUCUGCUUACUAGAGAUGCAAGAAGAGUUGAAAGGAAGAAAGCUGGUCUCCAUAAAGCACGAAAAGCCCCACAAUUCUCCAAACGUUGAGGGGCGUUUUCGACAUUUACUCCAAUCAAUGUUUUGUU
Molecule: long non-coding RNA, 5748 nt
Filed under: Lactuca sativa (garden lettuce)
Lineage: Eukaryota; Viridiplantae; Streptophyta; Magnoliopsida; Asterales; Asteraceae
Description: long non-coding RNA (LSAT_LNC006924)
Source: RNAcentral